This 253-nucleotide ribosomal RNA is filed under the name uncultured bacterium. Its description in RNAcentral is "partial 16S ribosomal RNA". It matches the Rfam family "Bacterial small subunit ribosomal RNA", at positions 524 to 776 of the family's 1533-position model. The record is from RNAcentral.
GACGAACCGUGCGAACGUUGUUCGGAAUCACUGGGCUUAAAGGGUGCGUAGGCGGGCAAGUCAGUCAGGGGUGAAAUCCCACGGCCCAACCGUGGAAGGGCCUCUGAUACUGCGAGUCUAGAGGGGGAUAGGGGCGUGCGGAACUUCCGGUGGAGCGGUGAAAUGCGUAGAUAUCGGAAGGAACACCGGUGGCGAAAGCGGCGCGCUGGAUCCCCACUGACGCUGAGGCACGAAAGCCAGGGGAGCAAACGGG